RNAcentral lists this ribosomal RNA (282 nucleotides) under uncultured bacterium. RNAcentral's name for it is "partial 16S ribosomal RNA". It matches the Rfam family "Bacterial small subunit ribosomal RNA", at positions 335 to 610 of the family's 1533-position model. The record is from RNAcentral.
ACUCCUACGGGAGGCAGCAGUGGGGAAUAUUGGACAAUGGGGGAAACCCUGAUCCAGCCAUGCCGCGUGUGUGAAGAAGGCCUUCGGGUUGUAAAGCACUUUCAGUGGGGAGGAAAGCUUGUCGGUUAAUACCCGGCAAGGACGACAUCACUCACAGAAGAAGCACCGGCUAACUCCGUGCUAGCAGCCGCGGUAAUACGGAGGGUGCAAGCGUUAAUCGGAAUUACUGGGCGUAAAGCGUGCGCAGGCGGUCUGUUAAGCGAGAUGUGAAAGCCCCGGCUC